Non-coding RNA from Omnitrophica WOR_2 bacterium, 88 nucleotides. Lineage: Bacteria; Pseudomonadati; Candidatus Omnitrophota. The record is from Rfam.
GGAGGAGUGGCUCGAGCGGCCUAAGGCGGCGGUCUUGAAAACCGUUGUCCACGCAAGUGGACCGCAGGUUCGAAUCCUGCCUCCUCCG